AUAGGCAAAUGGUUCAGUGUGUGGCCAUAAUUUUUAGGGUCAUAAGGGUUGCCAAAAACGGUCGCUCUAAGAUUUUGUGUAAUAGAGUAAGAGUAUUUAGACCAAGUAUAUUUGCUUUGAUGAUGCAGUUCUAUGCAAGUGUUUAUACCAAACUGCAUCACGCGAACAGUAAACAAACUCAGAUAGGAAGAAGAAUAUCAAAAACAGUGGAAAGAAAUCAAACAAAAAGUAGCAAUUUCACAGAGGGCAUUUAAAUGGUAUAGAUAUAUAUAAUUUUCUUUUAUUAUUCAUCAAAUGCCUCUACUUCUUUCUGUUUUACAUCAUAAUAAGCAAAUCGCUCAUUAAACAUUUUGUAUGCCUCAGUCUAUUUUCUUUGAUUUUUUGACUUUGGUUUUAAUUUUUUUAGAAUUACAAAACAAAUUGAAAUAAAUUUAAGGUGUCAAAAUUUGCAAGUGAACCAGCUGAUUUUCAUGGAUAUCGCAUUUUUUCGAUAAAUAUACCAAAAUAUUAGCCAAAAUAUGCCGCAUACAAUUUAUUUGUUUUAAUGCAUUCAACAAUUUCAUCUGAUCCCAACCAAAUUGUCAGAAAUUUUAAAGACUGUAGUUAUAACCGUGGCUCUUCUCGUCCAUUUCCCUUCAGUCCUCGCAUUAGCGAAGGAAGCUAAAACAAAUUUUGAAACUUUUCGAACAGUUUCGCUUCGAAAACAGAAUAAACAUCAUUCAUAGAAUGGCACAAAUAACAAUAUUUCCGAUUAAACUAAAUUUGUUGUCAAACUAAAAACUUUAACAAAUCCUCACAACUCAAAACAUCACGCUUUCGGAAAUUAGCCUCCCCGACCAUAACAACCGCAAUAGCCAAAUUUUAAUAGUUAAUCGUGGCUAAAUCCUGCAGGAAGUCGCAAGAUAAUGCUACGGCCAAUAAUAAAAUCAGAACCUAAAAUCUGUAUAAGCACGAUCAGAUUCACUUAACCCAAGGAACCAAGGAAUCAACUAUAAGAAGAAAAAGAAUGUAUUUGCAACCCAGAAAGAAAAUCUAUGCUAGAAAGUCAAAAUCGAGAGGACCCGACAAUAUUCAUUUUUUAAGGAUAAGGUCCUGAUUCCCCAUGUGGAACAGUAGCAAGACCAAAUACUUAUUAAUUAUGUAUUGUUAUAUCCGUGGAGAAACAUUUCCUAGUGAAGACACAACAUAGAUAUAUAAAUUUCGCGCAAAAGUGUAUAAUGAUUAUCUCUGAAACUAGUGCGAAUUUCGCAAUGCUCCACUCGCUUUCCACGUUUGACGGGAUUAUCGGCAUCGAUCUGGUGACCCGGACGACCACAAAAUCUAAUUUUAAGUGUUGUAACCAGAUGUGCAAAAUUUUAAACGUGCGAAAAGCGAUUCGUUUCGCAAGUUCCCUAAAUCUUAAAGUGAUCGUUUUUGGCAACCCUUAUGACCUUAAAUUUAGUACGGAAACGGCGCUUUUUUCUUAAUUUGUGUUUUAGAUUAUUCAUUUAGAUGCUUCUCUUUACUUUGCCGAUAUGAGAGAGGAAUAAUAGGUUCUCUAUUUUUUCGCGUGUGAAAUUGAUGAUUUGAUAUCCACAUACAUUCCAAUAUCGGAGUAUCGAUACGUUUAAAAUUUUAUAGUGGUGGGAACUGCGGAACGAAAUUUAGUUGCAACAAUUUGCAUGGAGUUGUGUGAAAAAAACAGUCGCAUAUGAAUUUAAAUUAUAAGGAAGGAGGUUCUCCAGAAUGUGGCAAACAUAUUCAAAAUUAUGGCAAUGUGUGAAGGUGUUUUCGUAAAAUCUCACAAAGCACUUGCAUAUAACACAAAUGUCGUUUCUAUCCUACGGACUAAACAGCCAAGGCAACAGCAUUUUUGGUUUGAAACGUUAAAUAUGAAUUGGGCAGACUAUUUUCCCGGCAACAAUAAUGAGCAAAUAGGAGUCAUGCAACGAUUACGUACAUUACGUCAUUAGUUUCUCGCAAAACGAAAAGGCGCAUAUUAUAUAGGACUGAAUAUCAGGAAUGAAUAUCACGGGCCACACAUAAUUCUUCCAUACCUGAAGAGACUAAACGUCCAAAAUCUAAGAACUGGGUGCACAGUAAUAAAGAAAGGAUCUACAAAAUCGUCUUCAAUUAUAUCUUCAAUUAUUAUAACCUUUCCUCAAUCUCGACUACAAGUUUCUGGUCUACAGUACUGAUUAUUCAAACUGUGAGAGAGGUAUAAUCUCUGCUAACUCAUAAUUUGUAAAAUUUCCUUUACGGGGCCAGAAAUCCCUUUUUCAGUGAAUUCGAAAACUGACUACUUCAAUUUGUUGGGCUAUUUCUUCGAAUAUUUAUUAACAAAUUCUUAUAAAAAAUAUAACAAAAUAAACUAGUUGAUCUAAUUGAGGAAUAAAUAACAUGUGCUCAGUUAUGCUCUAUAUGAACUUUUUAACACACGCUUAUUUUUAAUACUUGUUCCAAAGACCCUUAUUUCUAAUUACACUAUUUAUUCGAUUUGGCAUACAUUCUACCAAAUUGGGAAUUACUUCUUUUGGAAUAGCUCUCCAUUCUUACCACAACUUGUGCUGUUUUGCUGAAACCGAUUCGUAGAGUCCCAAUUGAUUUUUCACUAUCGAAUAGGAUUGAGAUCAGUCCAUUAACUAAACAUUUUGUUUGCGAUCCAUUCUUUGACGAUUUUGGACGUGUGUUUUGGACCUCUAUCUUGUUGGAAUGUGAUAUCACUCUCCUUAUAUCCACAUUUCUUAACAAAAUCGCAAAGAUGGGUCUGCAGAAUACAAGUAUGUAUAUAUUCCAGGGGUUUGGCUAGUAAAAUAAAUAGUGAAUAAAAGACUGCAGUAAACAAACAAGAGAGGAAGACUAAGGGAACGGGGAACAGAAACGUUAUUUUCUUAGCGCAAUAAUUAUACCGGGAAAAAACAAUUAAAAUUCAUUGCAAAAAAAAAAAAAUAUAUGGUUUUUUAAAUUUCAAAAUAAAUCCGAUACAAUUCUAAAAAUUCCGUGCAGUCUUAUCACUUCUCCCAAUUAGUCUAUUGAACUAAAUAAUUUUAAUUUUG
RNA transcript from Drosophila nasuta, 3035 nucleotides. RefSeq lists it as uncharacterized. Lineage: Eukaryota; Metazoa; Arthropoda; Insecta; Diptera; Drosophilidae. The transcript has 2 exons. The record is from RefSeq and is a predicted model, not a curated record.